Molecule: long non-coding RNA, 360 nt
Filed under: Ananas comosus (pineapple)
Lineage: Eukaryota; Viridiplantae; Streptophyta; Magnoliopsida; Poales; Bromeliaceae
Description: long non-coding RNA (ACOM_LNC027769)
Source: RNAcentral
UGGAUGUAGGGGUGUCAAUGAGCUAAACAUGAGCUGGCUCGUUAAAGUAUCGAAUCGAAAAAUUCAGCUCUUGUCCGACUCGUUAAAAAAUAAACCGAGCACGAGCUGGCUUACGAGCUGAUCAAUGAACAAUAAGUUAAAUGGAUUAGAUUGGAUAUAUAUAAAAAAUAAAUUUAUAAAAUCUUAUCCAUUAAACUUUAAUCUAAUGAUUGAAAAAUUCAGCUCGUAUUCGGCUUGUUUACUAAAUGAUUGAGUGAUUUGAUCUCAAACUCAUUUCGAGGCGAACACGAGUUGACUCACGAACAACGAGCUGGAUUGAGAACCCUACAUGGAUGGACCCAAACACAAGUAUACACCGGC